GUGCAGGACCUCACCUCGGUGGUGCAGACACUCCUGCAGCAGAUGCAAGAUAAAUUUCAGACCAUGUCUGACCAGAUCAUUGGGAGAAAUAUCCUUUUUAUCUGCAGUCGGCCUCCUGUGGGCCUUUGGAGCCUAUUUGCCGGGCAGUGGUGGGGAUAAAUGAGUAGUUUUCAGGCUAGCUUCAGCCAUUCACUUGUAGAAUUUGAGCUUGGAUUGUACUGUGUUUCUGAGAAGGACUGCGCCGAGAGCUAGGGGCAAAGCUGAGUUAGACUCCUGGCUCAAGGAGCAUACGUCUACCAAUCCUAAUAGCUGGUGUGGUGGACCAUGCACUGUGAACUAAGCGCUUUUGUGUGUGUCUUUUGAUGCUCAGCAUGACCUUAUGAGUGGGUUGUAGUGUUAUCAUCUUUAGCAAAUGAAUAAAUUGAGGUUUAGGGGUUCCAUCACUAGUAAGGGUCAGGGCUGGAAUCCGAUGCGGGGUAGCCAUGCCCCACAGUCCUGUACUCUUACCCACCAGCGUGUAACAGUGUCGAAAGAAAAUUGGAAGACCAGUUUCCCUAAAGUCGUUGUGUUUAAGGCUGUAGUCUGCAGGGACGGGAGGAAAAAGGCUCAAUGAGAUGUUGGCACGCGUUGUCUUUAACUUCAGCACUUGAUGAUAUGAGUAGUCGCAUUGAUGAUCUGGAAAAGAAUAUCGCGGACCUCAUGACACAGGCUGGGGUGGAAGAACUGGAAAGUGAAAACAAGAUACCUGCCACGCAAAAGAGUUGAAGUGCAUUCUCCUGAAAACAUAAGACCAUUUGACUGAUUCUGCUCCAGAAUCUUAUUGAGGCAAAGGACUGGACCGAAUUAUUCAUGGAACAGAAGCCUAGGACUGGAAACACCCAGGGAGAAGGCCACGUGAUGAUGGAGGCAGAGACUGGAGUGACGCAGCUGGGAGCCAGGGAACAUCAACGAUCACCAAGUGUCUCCAGGAACCAUCAGGAGCUGGAGGGGCGGGAAGGAUCUUCCCGGGAGCAUGGAUUUGUAGACACCUUGAUUUUGGACUUCUGCCCUCCAGAACUAUGAAAGGGCAGGACAGCCGUGUCCUACAUUUCCCGCCAUUUCCCCAUGGUGAUGGAGCUGCAGGGGUCCUGAGAGAGGGACGCUCACAAGGUCCCCGCACCACUUCCCGAGGGUCCCAGAAUGACAGAUUCGUAUUCUAAAGGAAAUGAAUGGGGUGCUGAAAGGAAUGCUCUCAGAAUGGUUUUCCUCCGGGUUCCUGAACCUAGAACGGGUUACCUGGCAUUCACCGUGUGAAGUGCUUCAGAAAAUCAGUGAGGCUGAGGCUGUGCAUCCUGUAAAAAACUGGAUGGACAUGAAGCGCCGCGUUGGGCCCUACAGAAGGUGUUACUUCUUUUCUCACUGUUCGACCCCUGGGGAGCCCCUGGUCGUUUUGCACGUGGCACUGACUGGUGACAUCUCCAGCAACAUCCAGGCAAUCGUGAAGGAACAUCCUCCAUCAGAAACAGAAGAGAAGAACAAAAUCACUGCUGCGAUCUUUUAUUCCAUCAGCUUGACCCAGCAGGGACUCCAAGGGGUGGAGCUGGGAACAUUCCUCAUAAAGCGAGUCGUCAAGGAGUUGCAGAGAGAGUUUCCUCACCUUGGGGUGUUUUCAAGUCUGUCACCUAUACCUGGUUUCACCAAAUGGCUUCUGGGGCUUCUGAACUCGCAAACGAAGGAGCAUGGGAGGAAUGAACUCUUUACAGAUUCGGAAUGUAAGGAAAUCUCGGAGAUCACAGGUGGCCCCAUUAACGAGACCCUCAAGCUCCUCCUCAGCAGCAGCGAGUGGGUGCAGUCGGAGAAGCUGGUGCGGGCGCUGCAGACUCCGCUGAUGAGGCUGUGCGCCUGGUACCUGUAUGGAGAGAAGCACCGCGGCUACGCGCUGAACCCCGUGGCCAACUUCCACCUGCAGAACGGGGCGGUGCUGUGGCGCAUCAACUGGAUGGCGGAUGUGAGCCUCAGAGGCAUCACCGGCUCCUGCGGCCUGAUGGCCAACUACCGCUACUUCCUGGAGGAGACGGGCCCCAACAGCACCUCCUACCUCGGCUCCAAGAUCAUCAAAGCCUCUGAGCAGGUCCUCAGCCUAGUGGCCCAGUUUCAAAAGAACAGCAAGCUCUGACAGUAAACCUCUCCUAAAGCACAGGGCCCCGGCUAAGAAAACGAUCAUUUUCAGGAGGGGCCGGGAGUUAUGUAUCUGAAGCAGCUUUCCAAGCAAAGCCAAAGUUGACUGUGUUCUUGUCCCGCAGCCGGUCCACACUGUGAGGCCAGGCCUCAACUUCCCUCACCCUGGGCGUGACAUGCACCCAGUGCAAGACGGUUGUGGGUGCGGGUGCACACAAAUGAGUGGGUUGCUGUGCUGUCUCCGGAAGAUUCUGUCGUUGCCCUUGGCCUGGCUCCCUGCCCGGGGCUGGUGCUGUGGUACCUACAUCUUCAGGAAGCUGUGCAGCCUCUGCCAUUGCCAUCCCAGGGGGAUCUGGCAUCCUCCUAAGGACCGGGGCGCGUGGCCCAGAUAAGAAUAGGUGUUCCUUUGUGCUCAUAAAACAGAAUGCGGCGAUGGUUGCUUUAGCCGUUUCUCACCAUGCAAUGCAGAGGGACAAAGGGCUGUGCUACACUUCCCAGUUACAUUCUGAAGCUCAUAAAUGUAUGAGAAGGUUUGUGAUUUUGCACAAGGUGUGUGUAGUAAGUUAAAUUGUUGAACACAAAAAUGUUGCUGCUUGAGGCAUAAGUUGGAUAAUAGGCUUUAAAUGAUCAGGGAUUCAGGUUCAUAAUGAACUUCACAG
Long non-coding RNA from Homo sapiens (human), 2816 nucleotides. The record is from Ensembl. NCBI's taxonomy places the organism in Eukaryota, Metazoa, Chordata, Mammalia, Primates, Hominidae.